This 253-nucleotide ribosomal RNA is filed under the name uncultured bacterium. RNAcentral's name for it is "partial 16S ribosomal RNA". It matches the Rfam family "Bacterial small subunit ribosomal RNA", at positions 524 to 776 of the family's 1533-position model. The record is from RNAcentral.
UACGUAGGGGGCUAGCGUUGUCCGGAUUUAUUGGGCGUAAAGAGCGUGUAGGCGGCCAUGUAGGUCCGGUGUGAAAACUCGAGGCUUAACCUCGAGAUGUCAUCGGAAACCAUUUGGCUAGAGUCCGGAAGAGGAGAGUGGAAUUCCUGGUGUAGCGGUGAAAUGCGCAGAUAUCAGGAAGAACACCAAUGGCGAAGGCAGCUCGCUGGGACGGUACUGACGCUGAGGCGCGAAAGCGUGGGGAGCAAACAGG